GAGAUUGAGCUAACAUGACACCUAAUUGACCAAUCAAAUAUAUGGCACGUCAUAGGUUAAUAUAUGGCACGACAUACGCUUCAUUAGCAUUUUAAUAAUAGUAAACGCUAUGACGAUAUUUUCCAAAAUAUAAAAUAUAAAAAAAACAAGAAUAUGAAAAUAUAAAAAAAUGUUUCUUCUUCUCUCAAGAUCUAAUAACUAUUGAGGGAUUUUUCUUCCCGCCGUAUCUCUCUUCAAUCCUCUGUC
This 246-nucleotide long non-coding RNA is filed under the name Linum usitatissimum (flax). RNAcentral describes it as "long non-coding RNA (LUSI_LNC003361)". Lineage: Eukaryota; Viridiplantae; Streptophyta; Magnoliopsida; Malpighiales; Linaceae. The record is from RNAcentral.